ACCAGCUGACGAGUCCCAAAGAGGACGAAACGCGCGUCCCAGAU
Molecule: non-coding RNA, 44 nt
Filed under: Schistosoma curassoni
Lineage: Eukaryota; Metazoa; Platyhelminthes; Trematoda; Strigeidida; Schistosomatidae
Source: RNAcentral